Molecule: long non-coding RNA, 214 nt
Filed under: Notechis scutatus (mainland tiger snake)
Lineage: Eukaryota; Metazoa; Chordata; Lepidosauria; Squamata; Elapidae
Description: lncRNA (ENSNSUG00000010266.1)
Source: RNAcentral
GUACCUGAGAGCAUUCAAAAGACACCAUUUGGGCAGGUAGGAACCACUCUGGAUUUCAGUAAAAGGCAAUGCAGAAAAUUCUAUACAAAGCUAUUCAAAAUCAUCCUAUCUUAUCCCUGCUGCGUCAAUAUCCAAGAAGAACAGAUAAUUAUGAUGCAAAUUUCCUCUCUGGAAAAAGAUCCCUUGUGAUGGAACCGGAGAAAACAAUCACCGC